This is a long non-coding RNA of Plutella xylostella (diamondback moth), 403 nucleotides long. RefSeq lists it as uncharacterized. Lineage: Eukaryota; Metazoa; Arthropoda; Insecta; Lepidoptera; Plutellidae. The record is from RefSeq and is a predicted model, not a curated record.
AUAUAAGCGUCCUAAGCGAGAAUAACCUCAGUAUUCUACCAUUUACUUGCUGAAUAAGCCUUCAAAAUGUUCAAAAAUCUUUUCGUUUUGUGUCUGGUGUUGCUGAUGGUGGGAAGUAGCCUACAACAGGGUGGUGGUGGCGGACAGGGAGGAGGUGGUGCCGGCGCAGGCGGUCAAGCGGGUGCUGGUGCCGGCUUCGGCUUCGGUAUGAAUGCGGGGGUGGGCGGCGGCGCGGGCGCGGGCGGGCAAGGGGGCGCCAAUGGAGGUGGACAAGGUCGGAAGUGAAACUUUUAGUAGCUGAUGCCCUAUCUUACGCAUACUCAACACAAUCAUUUUAGCUGAAGAAAAAGUACCUAAUAUAAUGUAGUAAAGAUUUAUAGUAAUAAAUGAUACUUUCGUGGCA